This 468-nucleotide ribosomal RNA is filed under the name uncultured bacterium. RNAcentral's name for it is "partial 16S ribosomal RNA". It matches the Rfam family "Bacterial small subunit ribosomal RNA", at positions 28 to 507 of the family's 1533-position model. The record is from RNAcentral.
GACGAACGCUGGCGGCGUGCUUAACACAUGCAAGUCGAACGGAAAGGCCCUGCUUUUGUGGGGUGCUCGAGUGGCGAACGGGUGAGUAACACGUGAGUAACCUGCCCUUGACUUUGGGAUAACUUCAGGAAACUGGGGCUAAUACCGGAUAGGAGCUCCUGCUGCAUGGUGGGGGUUGGAAAGUUUCGGCGGUUGGGGAUGGACUCGCGGCUUAUCAGCUUGUUGGUGGGGUAGUGGCUUACCAAGGCUUUGACGGGUAGCCGGCCUGAGCGGGUGACCGGCCACAUUGGGCCUGAGCUACGGCCCAGACUCCUACGGUAGGCAGCAGUGGGGAAUAUUGCACAAUGGGCGGAGGCCUGAUGCAGCAACGCCGCGUGCGGGAUGACGGCCUUCGGGUUGUAAACCGCUUUCGCCUGUGACGAAGCGUGAGUGACGGUAAUGGGUAAAGAAGCACCGGCUAACUACGUG